GGAAUUAAAUGUGUGGCUAUAACAUCAAACAACCAGAAUUUAAGAAUUAUUAUAGAAUAGAAUAAAGUGAGGGUCUGAAGAAUUAUCAAUAAAGCAUGAUCCUUUCAGAACCCUGGGCUUUAGCUGAACACAUAGCUACCCAACUAAAGUGUCUUUUGCAGCUAGAAAUGGCCAUGUGAUCAAGUUUGGAGGAACUAGAGGGGUUGGCAAGUGAUGAGUGUGACUUUGGACCACCUCCUUGAAGAUGCACCUGCUUCCCAGGAUUUCUUUCCCACUUCCCACAGGCGGGAGAGUGGGCACCCAGGCUUUAGUCACAACCACCAAGAUGACCCUAUGGGGGAGGUGCCAAGGAGAGAAGAUGGACCUCUUGGAGAGGAGUAGCCACAUCUCCAGCUAUGGACUGCUGACAUAAGUACUAUUUAGAGAGAGAAAAAUAAACUAUCCUGUGUAAGUCA
This 455-nucleotide long non-coding RNA is filed under the name Pongo abelii (Sumatran orangutan). Its description in RNAcentral is "lincRNA". The record is from RNAcentral. Lineage: Eukaryota; Metazoa; Chordata; Mammalia; Primates; Hominidae.